GACGGGGUGCAGCAGGCGCGAAACCUUUACACUGCACGACAGUGCGAUAAGGGGACCCCGAGUGCGAGGGCAUACAGUCCUCGCUUUUCUGAACGGUAAGGACGUUCAGGAACAAGUGCUGGGCAAGACCGGUGCCAGCCGCCGCGGUAAUACCGGCAGCACGAGUGAUGGCCGAUCUUAUUGGGCCUAAAGCGUCCGUAGCUGGCCGAGCAAGUUCGUCGGGAAAUCCACCAGCCCAACUGGUGGACGUCCGGCGAAAACUGCUUGGCUUGGAGCCGGAAGACCCAAGGGGUACGUCCGGGGUAGGAGUGAAAUCCUGUAAUCCCGGACGGACCGCCGAUGGCGAAAGCACCUUGGGAAGACGGACUCGACAGUGAGGGACGAAAGCUGGGGUCUCGAACCGGAUUAGAUACCCGGGUAGUCCCAGCCGUAAACGAUGCCUGCUAGGUGUGGCACUGGCUACGAGCCAGUGCUGUGCCGUAGGAAGCCGUGAAGCA
RNAcentral lists this ribosomal RNA (497 nucleotides) under uncultured haloarchaeon. RNAcentral's name for it is "SSU rRNA". It matches the Rfam family "Archaeal small subunit ribosomal RNA", at positions 324 to 821 of the family's 1478-position model. The record is from RNAcentral. Lineage: Archaea; Methanobacteriati; Methanobacteriota; Halobacteria; Halobacteriales; Halobacteriaceae.